GUAGGUGGCAAGCGUUGUCCGGAAUUAUUGGGCGUAAAGCGCGCGCAGGCGGUUCUUUAAGUCUGAUGUGAAAGCCCACGGCUCAACCGUGGAGGGUCAUUGGAAACUGGAGAACUUGAGUACAGAAGAGGAAAGCGGAAUUCCACGUGUAGCGGUGAAAUGCGUAGAGAUGUGGAGGAACACCAGUGGCGAAGGCGGCUCUCUGGUCUGUAACUGACGCUGAGGCGCGAAAGCGUGGGGAGCAAACAGGAUUAGAUACCCUGGUAGUCCACGCCGUAAACGAUGAGUGCUAAGUGUUAGGGGGUUUCCGCCCCCCUUAGUGCUGCAGCUAACGCAUUAAGCACUCCGCCUGGGAGUACGGCCGCAAGGCUG
Molecule: ribosomal RNA, 372 nt
Filed under: uncultured organism
Description: partial 16S ribosomal RNA
Rfam family: Bacterial small subunit ribosomal RNA
Source: RNAcentral